UUCUCUUACUCACAUUUAUAUAUUUUUUUAUUUCAUAUUGUUUCAAGUUUUUUAUAUUUUUAAUUAAUAUUUUUAACACAUUAGCUCUUUUGGUUAGAUGGUUAGAUAAUUAGAUAAUUGUGAUUUCAUCCUUAAGUUUAUUUCCUCUUACAAGCACUUUAAUAUGUAUUUUUUAUUUCAUGUUGUUUAAAGCUUUUGUUUUAUUUUU
Molecule: long non-coding RNA, 208 nt
Filed under: Gossypium barbadense (sea-island cotton)
Lineage: Eukaryota; Viridiplantae; Streptophyta; Magnoliopsida; Malvales; Malvaceae
Description: long non-coding RNA (GBAR_LNC007192)
Source: RNAcentral